RNAcentral lists this ribosomal RNA (580 nucleotides) under uncultured rumen bacterium. RNAcentral describes it as "bacterial SSU rRNA". It matches the Rfam family "Bacterial small subunit ribosomal RNA", at positions 191 to 772 of the family's 1533-position model. The record is from RNAcentral.
GGUCUCGAGGUGAAAGAUCCGUCGGUCCGGGAUGGGCAUGCGGCGCAUUAGCUAGUUGGCGGGGCAACGGCCCACCAAGGCGACGAUGCGUAGGGGUUCUGAGAGGAAGGUCCCCCACACUGGUACUGAGACACGGACCAGACUCCUACGGGAGGCAGCAGUGAGGAAUAUUGGUCAAUGGACGGUAGUCUGAACCAGCCAAGUCGCGUGCGGGAUGAAGGCCCUCCGGGUCGUAAACCGCUUUAGCCGGGGAGUAACGUGCGGCACGUGUGCCGCAGUGAGAGUACCCGGAGAAUAAGCAUCGGCUAACUCCGUGCCAGCAGCCGCGGUAAUACGGAGGAUGCGAGCGUUAUCCGGAUUUAUUGGGUUUAAAGGGUGCGCAGGCGGCGAGUCAAGUCAGCGGUCAAAAUUCGGCGCUCAACGCCGUACCGCCGUUGAAACUGGCGCGCUCGAGUUUGUGCGAGGAUGGCGGAAUGCGCGGUGUAGCGGUGAAAUGCAUAGAUAUCGCGCAGAACCCCGAUUGCGAAGGCAGCUGUCCAGCACACUACUGACGCUCAUGCACGAAAGCGUGGGUAUCGAA